GAAUGCUAGUCUAACAAAGACAGUUGAUUUCGACUCAACAGAUCACAGCUCCCCCUGUGGCUUUCUU
RNAcentral lists this transfer RNA (67 nucleotides) under Galbula albirostris. RNAcentral describes it as "tRNA-Arg". Lineage: Eukaryota; Metazoa; Chordata; Aves; Piciformes; Galbulidae. The record is from RNAcentral.